Molecule: ribosomal RNA, 496 nt
Filed under: uncultured bacterium
Lineage: Bacteria
Description: partial 16S ribosomal RNA
Rfam family: Bacterial small subunit ribosomal RNA
Source: RNAcentral
GAUGAACGCUGGCGGCGUGCCUAAUACAUGCAAGUCGAGCGAACAGACGAGGAGCUUGCUCCUCUGACGUUAGCGGCGGACGGGUGAGUAACACGUGGAUAACCUACCUAUAAGACUGGGAUAACUUCGGGAAACCGGAUCUACUACCGGAUAAUAUAUUCAACCGCAGGGUUCAAUAGUUAAAGACGGUUUUGCUGUCACUUUUAGAUGGAUCCGCGCCGCAUUAGCUAGGGGGUAAGGUAACGGCUACCAAGGCAACGAUGCGUAGCCGACCUGAGAGGGUGAUCGGCCACACUGGAACUGAGACACGGUCCAGACUCCUACGGGAGGCAGCAGUAGGGAAUCUUCCGCAAUGGGCGCAAGCCUGACGGAGCAACGCCGCGUGAGUGAUGAAGGUCUUCGGAUCGUAAAACUCUGUUAUUAGGGAAGAACAAAUGUGUAAGUAACUAUGCACGUCUUGACGGUACCCAAUCAGAAAGCCACGGCUAACUACGUG